RNAcentral lists this ribosomal RNA (417 nucleotides) under Triticum aestivum (bread wheat). Its description in RNAcentral is "partial small subunit ribosomal RNA". The record is from RNAcentral. Lineage: Eukaryota; Viridiplantae; Streptophyta; Magnoliopsida; Poales; Poaceae.
AUGUCCGUGAAGGUAAAUUAUACAGUAUUAUCGCCCAUAAGGUCCGAGGGCAUGGUUCAAAUAAAUGCACCCGGAAAAGAAAUAGGAAGGACUUGUAAUACUCAAAAUCAAGAAUCACAAUUAGCACGGCAUCUAUCCUCUACAUUUUCAGCACCGCAUCAUGAUCAGAUUGACGGAAAUUUCCAGAAAAUGAAAGCAAGCGGGAGCUGCAAGUUUCAGAUAACUGACGGGAAACUGAACUGGGGACAUAGUCGGAUUCAGAAAAAAGGAAAUCUUACGCGUCCUCCAUCGCGUAGUGCAGCGGCUUUAAAUAUCAGCAAAGACCACCUGCGCGUACCACAACACCUUCCCGAUCCCGCAGACAAACCUCUCCCAAAUCCCAGUCGCGCGCCCUCGAUCGACAUCACCCUUUCCUAG